Mytilus californianus (California mussel) is the source of this 2928-nucleotide long non-coding RNA. RefSeq lists it as uncharacterized. The transcript has 4 exons. Lineage: Eukaryota; Metazoa; Mollusca; Bivalvia; Mytilida; Mytilidae. The record is from RefSeq and is a predicted model, not a curated record.
UAUCUAUGUAACCACUAAAAAUAUUUACUAUGAAUCGAAUUUCAGUUAAAUGUCUUUAGAAUAAAAUAAAAUAUUUUACUCGACACGUUCCAUUUAAAUUGCUUUGACAAAAAGUAAUUAAUAUGUUUACUAAACGGUGGGAAUUUUCGCACCAAUAAUAGAUACAAAUCAUUCGGGUACAUGUAGUUUCGUUAUUAUUUUCCAAAAAACCACCAAUUGUCUAGUGACUUAUGUUACCAAAUGUGAGAACAAAACAUAGAAGGUAAGAAAUAUCAUUUCACGUUAUAAUAGUGUACACAUUGAUCAUAGUAAAACAUACAAAAUACAAAACAUGAAACGAUACAAAUUUUAUAACAAACGAUGCACAUCUCGACAAAUAAUGUCACUUCAGCGAUACUCGAGGCCAAAAUAUUUGAAAAUCCAAAACCUAUAAACAACGUUGAUGGCAUUUAUAAUCGAAAAAGACCAAACGUUGAACUAAACACGUACAAGAAAUCACAGUUAUGCAUGAGCGAGGUGUAUUUCUAAAGUUUAAAUGAUUUCACAAGUUUUAUAACAAAAUAUUUAAAAAAAUCACUAUAUUUACUUUCAUGGAAGUACAAAUGUCCUGAGAUAAAGGGCUGUUAAUACCAGUUCGGUGAUACUCUUGGGGACUAACAGAUUAAGUUUAUUUACAACAGUGUUUUUAAGGUAAAUAUAGACGGAGGAAAACAGAAAGUGGAGAUUAUGAAAAUUUUCUGCAAAUCAUCAUUAAAUUUUAGGCUACACAUCAAUGCAUUGACUUUUGUAUGACUGCAUAUUUAACUUCUUAGUGACAGCUUCAGACUUCUUAAAAAUGGUAGAAAUUAAACCACUAAAACGUUUCAAUAAUUUGUUUCUGCAAACAUCGGAUUUUAAAAAUGUGAAAGGUGUUAUGGAAAAGUUUGUAAUGACCAGUUCACACAACCACGGAAGAAAAAGAAAACUAUUCAUAGCUAGCAAUAUAUUAUUAUAAGGAAAGCUAAAAGAGUUAACAAAUGUAAACUGGCUAAAAGUCUAGCUUUGAACAAAACCUUUACUUGUGAAGCUCAUGAUAACUUAAUAUAUAUACCGAUGAAUAUCGAAGUGUUUUAUAUAGCAGCAUUGACUGUGCUUGUAGGCUUAUCACAAUGAACACUUUAAAUGAUGCUUUCUUUCACACACUCUAUAUAAAUAUAGAUGUGUGUAUAAGAGACUUCUUAGUGUGUGUCUCUCUUUUACUUAAUUAUCUCAAUAAUUACAGCUGACUUGGAACUGUUAACAAAACCUGUGGUCUUUGGAGAAAAUGUGCGACUUGCGUGCACCGCCAAUGAAACUGAAAUUCCACUUGAUAAACCUCACAGUAGAAGCUGGUCAGGCUGACCUUUUAAUAAAGUAUUGUACAUGAAUGCUGUCUCUGCAGACCUUUCGAAAUAUUAUGAAGUACUUGGAAAAGAUAAGUCUCAAUACAUCCUUGUUAUAAAACAAUUUUCAGAGACUGAGGUAGACUGUGAAUAUAAAUGUAUCAUUGUAGAUGAAACACGAAAAACACAUCAGCUCAACGAGGAGGACUAUGAAUAUAUUCCACCAAAAGAAACUACUACAGUAACUGCAAGCUUACAGCAUGGACAUUUCAGUGUAAACGUUCAUUUUGCUAAAGUAUGGCCCACACCAGUAUGUGAAAUCAUAUUUUAGGAUGUCAACUAUGGAAAACUGGCAAAAAUGUCAAAAAAGAAAAAUGGGAAAUUAUAUUCGGUCGACAUUAGUCUAAAACACACCUUAAGAAAGGAAGACUGUACCGGUGAAAUGUUGAUUUCCUGUCAGAUUGGAACAAAACACAUCGAAGUUCAGAGUUAACAUUUUAACACAUGCCCAGUCACCGUUCCACAGAAGGAUAGGAACUUCCUAAACGAUUACGUGCUAAUAGCACUGGUAAGUGCUGUUAUCAUGAUUUUAGUUAUGGUUUUUGUUAUAAUGAUAUCCAUGAUAAUUAGACAAAAAGGCUACAUUAAGUCCAUCACCGAACUCUACCUUGGAUAUCCUGGCAAAACUCGUAACGAGAUACCAUGGAACAAAGAACCAUUUUUGAAAGAAACAGAUGUGAGAAUACUUUUGAAGCCACAACAAGAACAGUCAUCCUGAGGACGGAAAAAAUGUCCAUGUAUUUUUAUUAUUGAUACAUUUCAAAUUAAGAAUAUCGACAAUAAAUGUUUCUUCAAUGAUGAUCGAAAAUAAAUGUGAUGACAUAUUUGACAAAAGUAAAACACAAAAUUACAUUUAUCAUUUAAAUAUCAGUAUCAUUAAAGGUACGGGCCGAUAUUUUCAAAGGGAGGGGGAUAGAGGUUGGGAUGCAAGCAAAUUUAUUUUUAUUAAAUUCAAUACCUAGGCCUGGUUAAAACGAAGAAAAAAUAAUUAUGCCAAGACAAGAUAAAAAAUUUCUAUCCCGUAAAAUACAGGGAAUAUAUAUCUCAACAAAUUUGACAUAAAACAAACUACAUAAAUGUGGUUUUCACAUGUUUUAUAUAUUUAUGAAAGGUUAUCUUAGUUUUUAUAUUUCGUGGGAUAGUUCAAUUGUUACCUAUUUAACAACAUGGGGAUGCAAUUAUCAACCUUUAAACUUUCUAAUAAAACAAUGAUGAUUAUAGAUAAAAACAAAUUAUAGAAAUAUUUAAACUGAUUGUAUGAUUUGUCGUUUACUUAGUGAAGUAUUUUUGGUAUUCGGGUAUACAUGGGGUACGUCAUUUUGGUAUAUGGAGGAUAGCUAUCUCACUGGCAAUCAUAUCUCAUCUACAUAUUUGUAUAUAUUCAUGACGCAUAUUAGUGUGACAAAAUAAGUAAAUUAUAUUACUCAUGUUAAUUAAUAUAUAUUAUUUUUAAGUUUAUAUGUUUUGCCUAUUUUCUUUGUUCUUUGACAUAUUUGUAUUUGUUAAC